AUUUGGAGAGGAUGCUUUUGGCGCGGCGCCGUCCGAGUUCCUUGGAACAGGACGCCACAGAGGGUGAGAGCCCCGUACGGACGGACGCCUGGCCUAUACAAAGCUCCUUCGACGAGUCGAGUAGUUUGGGAAUGCUGCUCAAAAUGGGAGGUAAAUUUCUUCUAAAGCUAAAUACCGGCCAGAGACCGAUAGCGCACAAGUAGAGUGAUCGAAAGAUGAAAAGCACUUUGAAAAGAGGGUUAAAAAGUACGUGAAAUUGUUGAAAGGGAAGCGCCUGUGACCAGACUUGCGCCCCGUGGACCACCCGGCGUUCUCGCCGGUGCACUCCGCGGGGCGCAGGCCAGCAUCGGUUCUCCUAGGGGGACAAAGGCCGCGGGAACGUAGCUCCUUCGGGAGUGUUAUAGCCCGCGGCGGCAUGCCCCUGGGGGGACCGAGGACCGCGCUUCGGCAAGGAUGCUGGCGUAAUGGUCACCAGCGACCCGUCUUGAAACACGGACCAAGGAGUCAAGCAUUGGGGCGAGUGUAUGGGUGCCAAACCCGCACGCGAAAUGAAAGUAAACGCAGGUGAGAGCUUCGGCGCAUCAUCGACCGAUCCUGAUGUCUUCGGAUGGAUUUGAGUAAGAGCCUUACCGCUUGGACCCGAAAGAUGGUGAACUAUGCCUGAAUAGGGUGAAGCCAGAGGAAACUCUGGUGGAGG
RNAcentral lists this ribosomal RNA (697 nucleotides) under Sporothrix palmiculminata. RNAcentral's name for it is "eukaryotic LSU rRNA". It matches the Rfam family "Eukaryotic large subunit ribosomal RNA", at positions 148 to 873 of the family's 3401-position model. Lineage: Eukaryota; Fungi; Ascomycota; Sordariomycetes; Ophiostomatales; Ophiostomataceae. The record is from RNAcentral.